RNAcentral lists this ribosomal RNA (231 nucleotides) under uncultured bacterium. RNAcentral's name for it is "partial 16S ribosomal RNA". It matches the Rfam family "Bacterial small subunit ribosomal RNA", at positions 118 to 347 of the family's 1533-position model. The record is from RNAcentral.
UGGGCAACCUGCCCCUCUCUCUGGGAUAACCCCGGGAAACCGGAUCUAAUACCGGAUACUCCGGCUGGAUCGCAUGGUCCGGCCGGGAAAGGUCCGCCGGAGAGGGAUGGGCCCGCGGCCUAUCAGCUUGUUGGUGGGGUCAUGGCUCACCAAGGCGACGACGGGUAGCAGGUCUGAGAGGGCGACCGGCCACACUGGGACUGAGACACGGCCCAGACUCCUACGGGAGCA